AGAAAUUUAAGUUAACAGACUAAAGGUCU
RNAcentral lists this transfer RNA (29 nucleotides) under Plethodon cinereus (red-backed salamander). RNAcentral describes it as "partial tRNA-Trp". The record is from RNAcentral. Lineage: Eukaryota; Metazoa; Chordata; Amphibia; Caudata; Plethodontidae.